This 210-nucleotide unclassified non-coding RNA is filed under the name Hevea brasiliensis (rubber tree). The record is from RNAcentral. Lineage: Eukaryota; Viridiplantae; Streptophyta; Magnoliopsida; Malpighiales; Euphorbiaceae.
AGCGAGCGAAAUCUGUUUUGUUUUUUCAUUUCUCAGUUCUACUUCAUAUUCAUUUCAUUCUUUGGUUCUGAUAAUACUCAACUCUUCCUGUUCCCUUAGGUAGUGUUGUAGUUGCUUUCCUUUUCUUUCGAUUGAUGUGUUCUCCAUUCUUUGAUUUAUUGUGUAGGCAGUGAUUUGUUGUAAAAAGCAUAUGGAAAGGGAAUUUAGUGU